AUUGAACGCUGGCGGCAGGCCUAACACAUGCAAGUCGAGCGGAUUAAUGGAGCUUGCUCCUGGAUUCAGCGGCGGACGGGUGAGUAAUGCCUAGGAAUCUGCCUGGUAGUGGGGGAUAACGUCCGGAAACGGGCGCUAAUACCGCAUACGUCCUGAGGGAGAAAUUGGGGGAUCUUCGGACCUCACGCUAUCAGAUGAGCCUAGGUCGGAUUAGCUAGUUGGUGGGGUAAAGGCCUACCAAGGCGACGAUCCGUAACUGGUCUGAGAGGAUGAUCAGUUAGCUUGGAUGUGAGGAAGGGUACACACUCCUACGGGGGGACGCAGUCGGGACUCUUGGACAAGGGGGGAAAGGGUGAUCCAGCCCUGUGGGGUGUGUGAAGAAGGUCCCAGGAUUGUAGAACAAUUAAAGUUGGGAGGAAGGGCAGUACGUUCACCGCUUGCUGUAUUGACGUUACCAACAGAAUAAGCCCCGGCUAACUUCGUG
Molecule: ribosomal RNA, 484 nt
Filed under: uncultured bacterium
Lineage: Bacteria
Description: partial 16S ribosomal RNA
Rfam family: Bacterial small subunit ribosomal RNA
Source: RNAcentral